Molecule: small nuclear RNA, 103 nt
Organism: Cynocephalus volans (Philippine flying lemur)
Lineage: Eukaryota; Metazoa; Chordata; Mammalia; Dermoptera; Cynocephalidae
Source: RefSeq, a predicted model, not a curated record
AUGCUCAAUUCAUUAGCACAAACACUAAAAUUGAAUGACAUAGAGAUUAGCAUGAACCCAGGACAAGGAUGACACGCAAAUUUGUACAACAUUCCCUAUUUUU